Non-coding RNA from Delphinapterus leucas (beluga whale), 2184 nucleotides. Lineage: Eukaryota; Metazoa; Chordata; Mammalia; Artiodactyla; Monodontidae. The record is from the annotation of a RefSeq genome assembly.
UAUGGAAGUAUGGCUAGUGCAUCGCAGGGACCCCAUGCGUCUCAGAGGAAGAAUCAAUCACAGGGUCAUGUAUGAUGAGGGGUCAGCCUACCCUAAAGAAAUCUCCUUCAUGUUAUGAAAUCACCAGUUCCUCUAGAAAAGAUGUGCUGGGGCUACUAAGACAGAAACACCAUAGAGAGAACAUGCAAAAUGAGGAGGAGCUGUGUAGUCUCAUAUUGUUAGGGGAGUGAAAGUGGUGCUGUUAAUAAUUACCCUUGAACAACAAGGUGAGACCUAUACUUACCCCACCUGUGUCCCAAAGGUGGGCUUCAUCUCAAGAGUCCUGAACAGGAAGAGGCUUCAGGCUUGGGCAAACAGCUGUGGCUAAUGGGAGAAAUGUCUGCUAAGAGCGGUGGUCAUGGUGGCUCAUGGGGUUUUGCUGGUGGAUCUCCCUAACAGGGUGGCCCAGAGUGAAGGGGCGCCUACCCUUCCUCCCUGAGGGACCACUAGUGGCUGAACACGUGCCCCCCUUUUCCCCCCACAUUCUGACCCCUGGAAGCAGCAGACGGGGCCGGUUUUCCAGGCAGCUGGGAAGAAACACAAGCCCCUGAGGCAACCUGAAAGACAGUGGCCUGAAGGGUCAACCCCUGCUGGGUUCAGUUUAAGGUGAUUCACAAACAAUAAACAACCCUGGGGCUCCUUAGGAAUUCAUAUGGAAUCAAGCCGUUGGGUAAGGCUGGACUUUCUGGUAAUGCGGGUACUUAGGGCUCAGAGCUAGCACAUUUUGUAUAUUUGUGAAUAUGUGACCUUCCUGUGUAAUGUAAAAAAUUAAUAAACAGAAGCCCCAAUUAAAUAGAGCUGGGAGACCAGGAGGUGGAGCUCUCCAGCCCUGUGAUGGUAGCAGGGCCCAAGAGAAAGAAAAAGAUUCCUCUUCUUUCCUGGCAACGACUCAGUCAGUGAAAAGCCUUGGACCCUUUUUUUACUGCAGACCUCCCAUCUUCCUUUUCCUGUCUGUAAAAUGUGCAGGAACUUGCAUGUGGCUUGCCAUGGUUGCAGAAAAGCCGUGAGUCAGGUUUCUUCAAUGUCUUACCAAGGGAUAUAGCCGGGGAGACAGACUCUGAGAGAGCUCUGAGAAACUGCUCUGAAAGGCGUUGGCGGGGGGAUGUGAGCGUAUCUGUGAUCUUGGCAAAGGGUACCUGCAACCAAGCUCACAUCUCGGUAGAAGGCUGCUGCUGGUCACAAGGAACAGACACCUUAGUUCAUCAUUUUAGUGCUUUUCUAAGUAUGGGAAGAUGCAAGAAUCCAGGUUCUUGAAAAUUUCUCCUGAAAAUAUCUAUCUGAAGGCCUGUUCUGCCAGUUUUCCCGGAGCACAGAGGGCCCCAUUCCUGAUCUUUGCUAAGAAGCCUCUGGGGGAAGGGGCGUGGCCCCCUGUGACGGGUUGGCUCUGGGGCCAGGCAGGGACAGUGACACCUCAGAAUGACUCCCUGGAGAGCCCCUCUGCCCUCUCCUCAACACACAGAAGACCCCUCUGCCUGCCCGCCUGCCCUGCCAUGGGCACCAGCCUCCUGUGCUGUGUGACCUUCUGUCUCCUGCAGGCAGGUCCAGGGAAUGCUGGUGUCACUCAGGACCCAAAAUUCCGGGUCCUGAGGACAGGACAGAGCACGACCCUGAAAUGUGCCCAGGAUCUGGACCACAACUAUAUGUACUGGUACCGACAAGACCUGGGACACGGGCUGAGGCUGAUCCAUUACUCAACUGCCACUGGCACCACCAACAAAGGAGACGUCCCCAACGGGUACAGCGUCUCCAGAUCAAACCUCGAGAACUUCCCUCUCACGCUGGUGGCUGCCACCCACUCCCAGACAUCUGUGUACCUCUGCGCCAGCAGUUACUCCACGGCACUGCACGGCCACCUCCUCUCUGCACAAAAAGGCAGGGGAGGCCCUGCACCCCGGGACUCAGCAGAGCCCCUUGCAGGCUCCUAGCACCUGGAGCCUUGGAGCCCUGAGUGCCAGGUGCCUGCAGUGUGACCCUCAGUGUGUGGUCUCGGCCGGCCCAGACCUGACUCCAUGGCCUUGCAGAUGUGUGCCCACCACCACUCUUUGUCUUUCCUCUGCAGCUGCCCUGUGAGCAGAAAGAUGCUGCCCCAGCUCUGACUCCUAGCCAUCAGCCUGAGUCUGAGGCCUCCAGGAGGGAACGUUAUUG